GGGCGGUUAGCUCAGCCGGUUAGAGCGCCUGCCUUACAAGCAGGAGGUCCACGGUUCGAUCCCGUGACCGCCCACCA
This 77-nucleotide transfer RNA is filed under the name Acidobacteriota bacterium. RNAcentral describes it as "tRNA-Val". It matches the Rfam family "tRNA". Rfam says of the family: Transfer RNA (tRNA) molecules are approximately 80 nucleotides in length. Their secondary structure includes four short double-helical elements and three loops (D, anti-codon, and T loops). RNAcentral also lists the same sequence under 2 other names. The record is from RNAcentral. Lineage: Bacteria; Pseudomonadati; Acidobacteriota.